This 426-nucleotide ribosomal RNA is filed under the name uncultured Lysobacteraceae bacterium. Its description in RNAcentral is "bacterial SSU rRNA". It matches the Rfam family "Bacterial small subunit ribosomal RNA", at positions 356 to 774 of the family's 1533-position model. Lineage: Bacteria; Pseudomonadati; Pseudomonadota; Gammaproteobacteria; Lysobacterales; Lysobacteraceae. The record is from RNAcentral.
GGGGAAUAUUGGACAAUGGGCGCAAGCCUGAUCCAGCCAUACCGCGUGGGUGAAGAAGGCCUUCGGGUUGUAAAGCCCUUUUGUUGGGAAAGAAAUCCAGCCGGCUAAUACCUGGUUGGGAUGACGGUACCCAAAGAAUAAGCACCGGCUAACUUCGUGCCAGCAGCCGCGGUAAUACGAAGGGUGCAAGCGUUACUCGGAAUUACUGGGCGUAAAGCGUGCGUAGGUGGUCGUUUAAGUCCGUUGUGAAAGCCCUGGGCUCAACCUGGGAACUGCACUGGAUACUGGGAAGCUCGGGGACCGGAGAGGAGGGUGGAAUUCCUGGUGUAGCGGUGAAAUGCGUAGAUAUCAGGAGGAACACCUGUGGCGAAGGCGGCCCUCUGGACGGAUACUGACGCUGAGACGCGAAAGCGUGGGGAGCAAACA